Molecule: ribosomal RNA, 420 nt
Filed under: uncultured bacterium
Lineage: Bacteria
Description: partial 16S ribosomal RNA
Rfam family: Bacterial small subunit ribosomal RNA
Source: RNAcentral
AUAUUGGACAAUGGGGGCAACCCUGAUCCAGCCAUGCCGCGUGUGUGAAGAAGGUCUUCGGAUUGUAAAGCACUUUCAGUUGGGAGGAAGGUCUUUAGGCUAAUACCCUGAAGUUUUGACGUUACCAACAGAAUAAGAACCGGCUAACUCUGUGCCAGCAGCCGCGGUAAUACAGAGGGUGCAAGCGUUAAACGGAAUUACUGGGCGUAAAGCGCCGUUAGGUAGUUCAGUAAGAUGGGUGUGAAAUCCCCGGGCUUAACCUUGGAACUGCUUUCAUAACUGCUGAGCUAGAGUACGGUAGAGGGUAAUGGAAUUUCCUGUGUAGCGGUGAAAUGCGUAGAUAUAAGAAGGAACACCAGUGGCGAAGGCGACUACCUGGACUGAUACUGACACUGAGGUGCGAAAGCGUGGGGAGCAAAC